UUUUUUUAUAUGUUCUGCAGAACAAUUAUUUGGUAACUUCAAAUUUCUAAAAAUAUAGUCCAUUUCAUGAAGUUUCCGGAAAUAACAAAAGAGUUCCUUCUACAGAAAGUUUCAAAUCAGUCCCUAACUUCAGAUAUUUGACAGUUUAACCACCAGAGGGCAGAGGCGGCUCAAGCAUACUUGAGGCCUUAGGCAAAAGAAAAAUAUUGAGGCCCCUAAAUAAUUCUUUUUGCUUUUUGAUGCACAAAAGUUUCAGUCGAAUAUUUGUAAUCAAGUUCAGCUAUCAUUUUCUUCUCUAUAGAUAACAUAGCCAAACUAUUCGACCUCUCUUUUGACAUAGUCAUUUUCUUCUCUAUAGAUAACAUAGUCAAACCAUUUAACCUCUUAUGUGAUAUAGUUGAUUGAAGGUAGUUUUUUAUCAACUUCAACUUGGAAAAACUUCUCUUAGCGGUAGGUACAGUAACAAGUAUUGUCAGUAUUAUUCCAUAUAUAUUUUAAGUGGCUAUUUAAAUAGAUACUUGAGACACAAAAGUAAUACUUGAUUAAUUACUAUUAUAGUAAAAUACUUGUGUAAUGAUAGUUGGUCCACUUCAAUUUAGAAUUUUUAAAUAUUAAUUAAAUACACUCAUAUUAAAAUUUUACUAUAUUUAAAAUUUGUGGCCCCUAAAAUAACAAGGCCCUAGGCACCGGCCUAGGCCAGCUCCCCCUAGAGCCGGUACUGUUAAUCGCUGAAGCUUCGAGUUUUGACAUUUCAGCCCUUAAAACUUCUGUGUGUAAAAUGAACCGGGUAGAACCGGGCACCCCUUUGCUCAAGGAUCAAUUUGUUUUUAGUGUGUUCAAAUUUGGGUCCACUAUGAUUUUAUUCGAAUGUAAACCUAUUAAUACCUCCGCAUCCAAACCAAAUAUGAACCAUUAUCGUAUUUUUUAUUAUCAUAUCAAGUUUAUCAUUCUAAAAUUAAUACCCUUCACUUGCUAGUUUCGGGUUUCUUUGUACCUCAACCACUGUCCCUCAAGCAGAGUAGGAAAUUUUUCUUCAUUCCAGUCCGGUCUUGCAUGGAAAAUAAUUGUUCUUGCCUUCUACAAAACUCGUGGACAAGUUUUCUCUAAUAAGGGGAGAAAGUAAUAAGGGAGAAAACAAAGGGAGAUUGAUAGAGAACGGAACUGAAAAUAUAUAAUCGUUAUUAGUGUGUGUGUGUUUGUGUGUAUAUAUAUUGUAAGAAUAAAUAAAUGUAUUUAUAUAUUUAUUACUCCCUCUGUCCCAACCAUUUAUUUACACUUCACAUUUUGGGAUGUCCCUUCCAAUUUUUUGCAUUUUAAAAUUUACCAAAAAAAUUGAAAAAAAUUAUAAUACAAAAAUUAAAGACAUUCACUACUUUCCUCCAAUAUACUCACUUUAUACAUUAAACAUUAAUCGGUCCUGCCACUAUACAUACUUUUCUUUCUUUUUCUCCCUUUAGUUAUUUCCUUAAUCCAACCCAUAUGUAAACAUUUGGGUGGGAAGGAGGGGGUAUAUACGUGGAGUUAUAUAUUUAUAAUAUAGCCCAGCUGUUACUACGGCCCUUAAUCUGUUCUCUAACAUAUUGACGUAAUCCCUGCAUACUAAUUAGACUUGAUUAUAUAUGAUGCUUCUGAUAUCAUUAUUGAUUUGAGUCUCUUUUUGGUGCAAUCCAUAUUCCAUAGUCUUUAUCCCUUUUACAGGCGAAGCCCUUCAGAGGAAUGGGUUUUUUGCCAGUCCUGAGCCUACAAAUUCAUUGAGGUUUAACUAUUCAAAUAUAUAAACAAAAUUUUCAUAAACGAGUAAACUUACCAGAGGUUCAACCUCUUCGUCCAAUACUUCAACUAAAGAUGUAUUAUAGGCCAAACGACGCCAUAACAUUUGGUACUCUCUCGGAUUAGAUAUACCAGUGCUGGUCUUUCUCACCAUCUCAUUCCAAUCAAACUUUUCAUCCGCAACUCGAGAUAGCUCUUGAAGUAAUGCCAAUACAGUAGUUGGAGAAUACCUUCAUACAUCACAACUUCUACGUCACAUACACAUAAAUAUAAUUCAAAAUAAACACAUAAAUUAGCACAAACACACAAAAUGCUGAUAGUAUAAUCUAUUAUAAUAGCAUAGACUAUACAUUCAAUUCAAAUAUAGUGAACAUCACAGUGCAUACAAUUUAUGCAUAACAGUAACUUUCACGUUUCUCGUCGCGCUAAAAAUUGUUUUACACCGAAAUGCUCAAAUGAAUUUGAAUUUCAAAAUUUCUAGAACAAAUUACACUCCUAUAAAAAAAAUUAACAGAUAUUAUAUAAAAACAAUUAUCUAUAUGUAAUCAGAUAACAACCUUUGCAAGACGAUUGCGAUGUCUUCUUCGGAGAUGAAUCCGCGUUUCCGCUUCUUCGUGUUCUCAAUCAUUGUGAUUUCUCCGCAACUGAAAUUCCGGUACUUAAACCCUAACUAACAACCGGGGGUUUAAGAAGCAAAUUCAGCUUUCAUACCGCGUUGUGAUGGAAGAAGACGCGCCGCCGAGCUGAGCUGAGAGCGUAGAAAACACGCGCCGUCGGGAAUAUCGGCGAGACUUGAGAGAGACCGGUGGAGAGAGAGUGCGGGCAGAGAAGGGAAAAAUUCUGGAAAAUGAAUUCGGGAGAAUGAUGUGAAAUUACGAAAGUGACCUUGUUGUAUAAUUUUGAUUUUUUUUUUCCAGUGUGCCGAAUCUCCAGUUGUUGACAUCGACGGUGUGAGGUUAAAUACCAGGUGUGUGGGUCAUAAUCGUGGAUUUGGUGAAAGUGAAUAAAUUAUUCGUUGGUCUUCUUUUAAUAAACUUUUAAACGGAAGAAAUGUGUAAGCAUUAUAACAUAAUAUAGUGAAUCUGUCAAAAAUACCCCCUUUAUAAUUCUUUUGCGAUUUUACUUUAAAUAUAUUUAUAAAAAUAUUAAUUUUUUAAAAAUAAUUGCAAAAGUAUAAUGAGCAGCCAAAUGAACUUCACUUAAGGGUCUGGGAUCCUCGGUCCCCUCUUUGUGUCUCCCUAUGUGUCCCCUUCUUUUUAUUGAUUAGUUCUUUUACUUCUCACGGGAUCUCUUGUCAUUGCAAAAUACAAAUAAAUUACAAGUAUUCAACUGAGUUAUUUUCUGUGAACUCUGAGAUAAAAUCUUUUGUAAUUGCAGGCUUAAUUUAUUUCUUCUCAAUGUAGACUUCAAUUUUAUAUAUUCUCAAUCAUCUUUUUUUGUUGCAUUAAAUAUUAACUCCAUGAUGUAUAGUUUGGUUUAUCAAAAAAAAUGUACCAGUGAAUUUCCUUCAUAUACCAAUUUAAUUUUAUUAGAUUAAAUAUUAUAUAAAUAACAUCUCAAUUUUUUAAUAUAAUUUAAGUCAUAAAGAAAGUUUUUCUUUUGCUUUCAAAUUUAAUAAUAUUAAAGUUUACAAAAUUUUAAUUAAUUAUUUAAUAUAGAAAAACCUAAACAUAAAAUUACUGCAUAGUAUUAUAUUUAUAUCAUGUAAAAAAUAUUUUUAGUUGAUUAUGUACUAUAUGGAAAAGAUAAUGUAAAUAAAGUAUAUCUUUGCUUUUAAAUUUAAUAAUAUAAAAAUUUUCAAAAUUUUAAUUAAUUAUUUCAUGUAGAAAACAUAAAAAUAAAGUUACUAUAUAAUAUUAUAUUUAUAUCAUGUAAAAAAUAUUUUUAGUUGAUUAUGUACUAUAUGAAAAAGAUAUUUAAAUAAUUGAGAUAUAUUUCUAUAGAUUUGAAAAAGUUUAUAUAAUAAGCUCCGUGAAAAAAUAAAUAAGAAUUAUAGAAUUAUAGAUCACGUGAUAAGUAAAAGAACGGACCAAUAAAAAAGAGGGGACACGGAGACAAAGAGGGGAUAGAGGAUCCGGACUCUUCACUUAAUUGGUUACGCAGGGGUUGCAAGUAUAAUUGCACGGGGCUGUAACGGGUUCAAACUAAUAUUAACUUUACAUGUACUUUUAAUUUAUCUUCUAAAUUUUAUAUUUACAAUAAUAUAUUAUUUUUUGCAAAAUUGUGAGAACAUAAAAUAAUUCUUUAUCUUAUUUAUAUGACAAGUUUUAAUUAAUUUCAUCACAUAAAUAAUAUUGAGGCCCCCCUGCAUAUACAAUAAUUUUCUAAUUAAAAUAAGGCACCUAACUAAAAUCACUCAAUUUGACAUUAAUAAUAAAUUUAUAAUUUUUUAUUAUUUUAACAUUAUUAAAAAAUAAAAAUAAUUAGUAUUAUAAUAUAAUACUCCCUCCGUCCCAUUUUAACUGCUUUUGACUUUUUUACACGUAUUUUAAGGUGUUAAAAAAAUCACAUCUAAACAUAAUUAUUGUUUAUAAAAUUUAUAUCAAAUAAAAGUUUGGAAUCUAAACUUUUAUUUGAUAUAAGAAUUAAAUCUUUUUAUUAUUGAGCGUAGAUAUUAUUUUUUUACAUCUCAAUAUACGUGUCAAAAAGUCAAACAUCAGUUAAAAUGGGAUAGAGGGAGUACAUAAAUAAACAAAAUAUUAAAUUUGCUUCAUAAAUAUGAAACAUUUGAAUUUUCUGUUUAGAAAUCAAUGUUGCUGUAAUGCAUGAUGCACGGAUAAUAACACCUAAUCAAUGCUCUAAACCUGGGCACAGAGGAGCCAUUUAUCUAACAUAUCCAUGUACAUACUAAACACCGAAUUAUAUGCUAACUAGCUCAUUGAUUGAAUGCUCUAUUUUAACAGUAUAUGUGGUGUGUGUUUACGAGCAUAUACUAAAUUCUUUACAUUUAGCUUAUUUUGAUUAGGGUAUGUUUUUAUAUAUAACGAGAGUCUCAAAAAAUAGUUUUAUGUCAUUUCCUUGGCAAUCUGUUGGUCACGACACGGUUGGUGUGGUAUUUUGUUGGAAAGUCAUCACUAAUUUAUGUCCUCAGAUUUAGCAUCAGAAAUUGCAUGUGAAACAAUCUUUUUGUUGCUCAGAUAUCAUCAAUUAUGCACCAACAAACAACUCUUUUCCGUCUGGAAAAGAAAAUAAGAACUAGUCCUUGGCUUUUUUAAACUUAGGAAAUGAUAUUGGCCAACCCAACAAAUAUAAUAUCGUGAGAAAUAUUAAUUUUAUAUUAUGGUCAGACAAGAAGGUAAAAUAUGGCAAGCUCCUAACUAAAUCCAUAUAUAAUUACGUACGUGACGGAAUAGUUCAACAACUCAAGUUAUCCAUUAUCAUUCUAAUAUUACGAAUUCAAUUCUCGCUCGGUCUGAUAUUUAAAUUGUCACAAUAUAUAAUGGUACUAUGAUACUAAGUAUUUCGACAAACACAGCCACAGUAACAAGAAGAUCAGUUCUGGUAAACUAAUCGAUGUCAGAGAUUGAGGUUCUGUUGCAUCCUCCUCUAGCCUCAGAUGUAUAAAUAUAUCUUAAUCAUAAUCUUCCGCGAAUCAAGUAAUAGUUGCAACCUUUGUAUUCAACAUUUCUUGCUGCACAAAAAAUCUCUUACCCGCACAAGAUAAGAAACUUUAAUCAAUUGACAAUCGUAAUCGAAGCAUGUUUAAGCUAAGAAGAAUAGUAGAAUUAUUAAGUCGAAUCAAGCUAAAAACUCCCAUUAAUUGCAUUCAAAUGUCCACAACUUUUGUAGCAUGACAAAUUUGAAGAAAAGUACUUAAAACAGAGAUUUAUUACAUAACUUUGUAAAAUCAGCCCUUUCAAUACAUAUGAAUCCCCUUAAUUGAUGCUCCAUUCAUAUUUCAGCUCAUUCUUCAGCUCUGCAACUUCAUUCUCAGACAUUAUCAUUGUCACUCUUAAUCCCUUGUCGCCAUCUUUCAUCUCCGGAAGAACCAAAACCACCCCAUUGUCACCAACUCCAUCGAUAGUAUAAUUUGCAUAGACAGUUUUCACUCCCUUCAGCUCCAUCUCAUACAUUUUCGUGCCUUCAAGAUUAACGAAUGUCAGAUUUGCCCCGUACACUAUACAGUCCAAGUUCCCAUCCUCUUUGUCAAUCAGCUCUGCAAUCUUUUCUCGCUCAUCAACUUGUUUCUUUGCAAUGAAGUUAGCUACAUGCAGUACAUCAGCAUCAAAAUGUGCAUCGAACUCAACCGUGCUCACAACCUGCCUAUUACGCGGAGAUUCAUUUCCAAUGUCAUGAGAAUUGUGGGUACAUAUUGUCACAAAUUCUUGCAUCAGCUCUUUUCUUAUCUUAGCAAGAGAUUUCCAAAUUAUUGCAGAGAUGCAUUCAAAAGGCCUGAUCUUUUCACUUGGGCUUAGCCUGCAGAUUUUAGUAAGCAAGUGAUGAAGUUGUUGCUCAGUGAUAUGAAAAGAAUGAGUCCUCAUUUUGCAGUUAUUUGGGGCCACCCAGUAGUCUCCGACAGGGCCUACUGUUUUUAGUGAACAUGAUUUUGUGGUGAAACAAGGGAGUUUGUCAGUUUCAGAGCUUGGGUUUUCUGCAGGAUGACGUGGCGGAUGGCCUCCUAGGAUCUGGGCCCACAUGUUGAUGAAGGCAGAAGCUGUGAAGAUAUCUCCCAGAAUGUGGGACCAGCUGAGGCCCACAGACAUUCCUCCACACUGGAACCAAGUGAACUGGACCAUACCAAGAAACAGAAAUAUGAUUUUAAAUAAACUGGUUAGAGUUUUCAAAGUUAACUCAGGACACUCAUGAAUGCAUAGGCUUUUUUAUUGACCUGGAGCGAGAAAUGUUUCGUGCACAAGAUUGGGUUAUAAAAUUCUCUAACUCUCGACCCUCCUUCCCUAAGGACAAGCAACUAUAAUUGCACACACCGUCUGCAUUUAAGGCAUUUUUCGGUUGGGACUCUUGUGGUUAUACAUGCAGUGCAUUCCUCCUCUCAUCUAUCUGUUCUUAAGGAAAAUUCUACUGGUGAGUACAGUUAUUAUGGCCGGUACCAACAUCUCAUCUGCAUGAAUAAUUAUAUGCAGGACUCUCUUUUAUGGCUGUCAACUUAAAAACUUCUGAACUGUUUACCUAUCCCGCACAGAGUUUUACAUACGAAUUUGGUUCAGCUAAUAACUAACUUAUAAGUUGAAAACUACACACAUCUUUCAACUUCUAAGGUGUUUACUUAUCUGACACAAGCACAACUGAUUGGCCUUCCAACAAGUAGGUACUGGCAGAACUAAAUAUCAAUUGUUCUUCAUAUUUAAAGUCUAGCUAGACAGCCUAAUUGGGGACUGGGGAGGCUUAAAUCCAUGGCACACUGUAUCGCCAUUAAUGUUUGCCAUCUGGACCACACUACAGUUACUCGGUCAGAUAUUUAAUAGCCGCGCGAGGCAACAGUGUAUACUGCUUCGAUAGAUACAGGUGAUGUUUGAUAAUUAGCGGUGGAUUGAAUUAGUUAUUUUGACUAAAAGACUCAAUUAAUUAUUUUGACUAGUUGACUGAAACAGUUGUUUUGAUUAGCGGGUUAAAUUAACUGAUCUGAAUGACACUGUUUGAUAGUAAUUGUUUGAUUAGCUUUUUGCAGUUUAACUAGACACAUAUUAAUUCUCAUCUAAUUGAGAAAAUCAUAUUCCUGUAUUAUUCUAGCAUUUCCCCUUACUAUUAUAUCAGCAGGCACAAAAAGGAAAUCCUGUCUAGCUGCGAUUAUUAACCGAUUUCUUACACACACAUUUAUUAAGAUCACAUGUUUAUGAAUUACCAGUAUACUUACCUGCACAAAGACAAGUGGGGAGAAGCCAAGAUCAGGACCAAGAACAUGCUUAUAAGUAAGAUGAUCAUUAAUCGAAUGAUCAUCUUUCAUAAUUCCCAUCCACUCCUCCAAAUUUUUGCUACACUGUGCCUCCACAAUCCUCACACCGCUAUCAUUGCACUUUAUCAUCGGCCUACCUCCUCCGUGUUCCGACCUCCGGACUCUCCCAGAUGCCGCAAAAUAAACAUUAAGAAGCUGAAAAAAGGCCUUUUUUAAGUCAAGAAUCACUAGCCCUUCAACAGCCUUACUCUCAAAAAAGUACACGCCCCUUAUGUAAUGAAGCUUCAUUGCUAAAUCCAUGCUUGUUAGCUCAUGACUGCUCUUCUCCUCCGGUGUCAUUCUCGCCGGAACCACCGUGGAAAUCCUCUUGUUGUAAACUAGGUUCUCCAUUUUCUUGCACACUUAAAAUGAAAAAUGUUUGUUGGCUAUGAAAAAAUGAACAAGAUAGAGGCAUAUAUAUAGUGUUAAUAAAGGUGCCGUUUUCAAUUAUUUCGGGUCUUAUGCAAAAUAUACAAAUUGCACAAUGACAUGCAUCUCCCAGCGGAAAAUACAGUUCAUGCAUUAUAAAUGAGGUCUCCCGGAGUUGGACAGCUGUCUAUUUAUGUUAAAAGAAACAAUUAUCAUCACAAGAAAUUAAUACCGGCUAUUUAUUAGGUUGUUAUCCGAUGAGUACCACUUUUUUUGACAAACAAAUGAUUUUAUUAACAGAAAUCACUUAUCAGAACCCAGUCGGGACAAACCCCCGAACUGUCAACUACAAUCUGAUUGUGAAACAAAGAACGAGCUACACAAAUAGCCGUUUUCUUUUCAGAUCGCUUAACACAUAGAAUAUUUAAAUUCUUUGAUCUAAAAAGUAAUACAAUGAAAUAUCGAGCAAUCCAACCUACAUCAACUAUGAAACUCGUAGCAUCACAAUUGACCUCCACAUAAGCAUCAUCUGUAGCCCAACGUUCAGAACUAUCAGUUGUAUCAACUGAUAUUGGAGCAAUAAGGACUCCCAAAAUAUGAACAAAUUUUUGUAGUGAAAGGUGAGCUUUUGCGAUAUCCACCAUCAUCCCAGAAUCGAUGCAAGUCUUACAGAUCACCCAAGAUACCAUAUGAAUCCUUUUUAGAGAAACUUCCGACAACGAUACGAAAACACACACAAAACACAAAACAUGACAUACUAACAUCCCAAAAAUAUGGACACGACCUUGAUAACAAGGUACUCAACAAGAUCUCACAGAUCUUGGUUUAUUGAAAAAGUGAAAUACAGAAUAGAGGAUGGGAGAGCGAAAAUGAUUAAUCGAUGAGAGGAUGAAGAUUUAGAAGAUGGAGAAGUGGUGGCUAGAUACGGGAGUCGACUCUCAAAACAGGGAGGCAGAGAGAAGCCCUCAACUUCCUGUAUUUUAGGUAAACCAAACAACUCGAUGAGUACCACUUAACUACAUUUUUCAUUUGUAAUUACCGCGAGAAAUAUUAUAUCCAGAGCAAUCUUUUAUCUUUUAAUAUCCAGAACAUAUUCUAUUCUCAGCCCCCUUCCAUCUACACAAAUCAUACACUUUCAAUACAAAUUUUUGCAAAUUGCUCUGGAUAUUAAAAGAUUGCUCUGGAUAUAACAUNGGAAAGAGUCUUAUUUAUAAUACUAAUUUUAGAAAUAUUGUCAAAACAGCUAAUAUAACGCGUAAAAAGUUGAACUAUUAUUCGAGGGAAUAUUAAUUUUUUUAUUUGACUUUUAUAGUCAUGUGAAAUUUUUUUGUAUUAGAAAAAUAGAAGAUAAAUUUGGAUUAAUCCUAAAAAUUGUAACUAAUCAAAUUUGUUAAAUUUGCUAACGGGUUAAGUUCUAAUCUGAUUUUAAAUUAUGCACGAUUUAUUUAUUAUUUAAAUUAACAAAUUAUUUAAAAAAUUCGUUAAUUUGUAAACAUGCGGUAUGGUCAGGUCCUUGAUUGUUUCAUAUAAAUAGGCUGUGGGCACUGGGCAGUGGGCAAAACAUAGGAGUACUACUUUUAUGACUUGAAAAGGGCGAUGAGGUACAUGAAUGAGUAAAAUGAUUUGACAAUCAAUAUACUUGUAUAAAGCAGAAGAGAGGGAGCGUGUAGGUGGCGCUUGUCACAUCGGUCCGUUCUAUUUUUCUAAUUUCUGGAAUUUUUGGAUAAAAAAUAUCAUAAAUUAGAACUACUCUUUUUAGUUUCGGAUAUAUUGGAAACAAAUUUCAGAAUCUGAUUUUGUUUCAGAUUAUUUAUGGAAUAUAGCAGCUUUAAAGUUUUAAUCUGAUUUAGUUUCAGAUGAUUUAAUUAUGGGAGAGAGUAGCACACAAGUAUCUCUUCAUCUAUAAAUAUCCCUAUAGAUUGUAGGGUUUUGGAUCAUCUAAACACAACAUACUAUCUCAGUACCAUAACCGUACCUCUCUAUGCUGAUAGUUUGUUUGCUCGAUUUCUAACUCGGUGGUGUCAUUCUUCUGCAACGAUAAGUGAAGGCUGUUUAUACGAUAUUAAAAAAAUAAAGGUCGUUGCAAACAAAGGUAGUUAUAGACCGCUACGUGGGAGUCGACAAAUCCAAACACGGAAGAAGAAUGUAGUCUUGACAUGAUAUUGAUGGAUGAUAUCAAUAAAUUAACUAUUAGUGAUGUAUGUUUGUUGGUUAUUCUUUUAUAAUAUUUGUUUUGCUCAUCGGACAUGUUUGUUGUUGUUAAUUUUUAUAUGAUUUACUUUGUACACAGAAAAAUAUUAUUCAUGCAUUAUCUGUUUGCUCCGUUCAAGCAACUUUUAAGUGAAGACUGUUCAUACAGUAUUAAAAAAUAAAGGCCCUUACAAGUAAGGGUAGUUAUAGACCGCUAUCUCUCGGAUUUAAGUUAGAUGUUUUUGUGCACAAUCAUUCCAAAAAAAUUGGAGGAAGGUGACAAUGUAAGAACAUGAUUUCUUUUAUAAAAAAAACACAAAUAAAAUGAAUAUUCGAUGUGCUUUAAAUUGUUAAUUACGUGUAGAAAUUUAUUUUCAUUGUGUCAUUCUUCUGCAACGAUAAGUGAAGGCUGUUUAUACGGUAUUAAAAAAAAUAAAGGUCGUUGCAAACAAAGGUAGUUAUAGACCGCUAUGUGGGAGUCGACAAAUCCAAAUACGGAAGAAGAAUGUAGUUUUGACAUGAUAUUGAUGGAUGAUAUCAAUAAAUUAACUAUUAGUGAUGUAUGUUUGUUUGUUAUUCUUUUAUAAUGUUUGUUUUGCUCAUCGGACAUGUUUGUUGUUGUUAAUUUUUAUAUGAUUUACUUUGUACACAGGAAAAUAUUAUUCAUGCAUUAUCUGUUUGCUCCGUUCAAGCAACUUUUAAGUGAAGACUGUUAAAAUAAAGGCCCUUACAAGUAAGGGUAGUUAUAGACCGCUAUCUCUCGGAUUUAAGUUAGAUGUUUUUGUGCACAAUCAUUCCAAAAAAAUUGGAGGAAGGUGAUAAUGUAAGAACAUGAUUUUUUUAUAAAAAAACACAAAUAAAAUGAAUAUUCGAUGUGCUAUAAAUUGUUAAUUACGUGUAGAAAUUUAUUUUCAUUUUUUCACCAUGAAUUAUAGUCCGAUUUUGCAAUUUUAUAUAUCAGUAUUAGUAAUAUAAUUUUUAUAGACCGCCGCAACGCGCGGCUUCUCAACUAGUUCCAUCUAACUAGAUUUAUCAAACACUAGUGCUACUGCUGUGGAUUUAUAAUCCAGCGAUCACGCAUAGACCGUAUUGAUUUGAAAGGCAAAUUGUUUUGUUAACGUUUAAUAGUUCGUCUCAUUCAUUUUUAUUUAAUUUUUUUUUAUUAUUUAACAUAUAUUUAAAAUUUAAACUAUAAUUCAAUAAUUGAUUUUUAAAAUUUUUGUUGUUAAGUAAAAAAUUAGUAUAUAAUUUAUAAAAUCAUAUUUCAUAAAAAUCCUAAAAUAAAUGUCAAGCUUUCUGAUUUGUGUACUGUCAUCAAAGUCAAAAUCUAUACAGCAUCUCUUCUCUAAUUCUCCCUCCAUCUUUUUUAGUUGUCACAAUUACAAAAAACACAUAUAUCGAGAAGAAUUAAAUAUUAUAUUCAUUGUAUUAAAUAUUAAGUCAUAAGUGUGUAUAUAUUUUUGGUAAACUCAAACAUUUUGAAACACUAAUACGUUUUCCCCCAAAGCAAGUUCGACUGGAACUCGGAGAAGGAAGAGAUAAGAGACCCUAUAGAAAAUGUGGUCAGAAAUCCAUAAUAGAGUCCGACCACAACGACACAUUUUUGGCCAAUUUGAUUCAUUGGAGAGAUAAAUCGGCGGCCCUUUCCAUUGUACAAGCACGAUUGAUUGGACAACGCGUUUGUUUUGGAUACAAAAUAUUAGAGGUUCAAAUCCAGUCGAUCAACGAUAAAUAUGAAAAAAUAUAUUAUAUAUAUUUGUUUUAUUUGAAUGAGAUAAUUAAAGGAACGAGUAUGCAAUAGUUAGACCGUCUCCAACGCAGGAGUGCUGCGCUGGCGACCUGUUCCUGGAUCCAUGUUUCGUUUAUUGCAUUGGAGGAAAAACUGGACUUGGCCGGGGGCCGAGUUGGUGGCCAGCCAACUUGUGCAGCUUUUCUAUUUUUUUUUGUUUUGUAGCACAUGGGCUUGUCUCUAGAAUCAAAGUUGUAUUCAUGCAAUUACUUUCACUUUUCUUUUUAACUGAACUUCAUACAGACCCUGCAAAUAUAACGUCUAUAUUAACGUUUAAAAAAUUUUAAAAAUUGUAACGUUCCAAAAUUUUCAUUAUAAAUAAGAAGUUUGUUGAUAAAAAAUUUCACACUCUCUCUUCUACAAAUUUGGAUACAAGAUGAAUCCAAAUAAUUAUUCUGCUUCAAACCCACAAAAUUCCCAAUUUCCGAAUACUCAAUAUCCAUAUCCGUUUCCAAAUCCAUAUUUACCAUAUGCCCAAAAUCCAAAUAUUGAAAAUUCUCAAUUUUCAAACCCGCAAAAUCCAACUUACAAUCCUCAAGCCCCGAAUUCUCAAUUUCCAUUUCCAAAUCCGUAUUUUUCGCAUUCACAAAAUUCACAAUUCCCGUUUGUUCAAAAUUUUCAAAAUAUACCCCCACAAUUUGGAACCCAACAAACUACUAUUAGUAAUGAUUCCCCACAAUCACGAGGUUCUGCUUUCGAUAAUACUAAUAUUAUCGAUCUUAAUGAUGAUGUCAACGAAGUCGAAAAUGCGCGAGAAGGUAUCUCUCAGUGGACGUGGAGUGAAGAUAAACUUCUAAUUAGUGCAUGGUUGAAUGUAUCAACCGAUCCCAUAACCGGUAAUGACCAAAAAAAUGAAGCAUUUUGGGAUCGAAUUCGCGAGUAUUGUGAAGAAAGUACUCCAGGGCCUAUAAAAAGAGGAGCUAUAGCUAUGAAGAAAAGGUGGCAACGAAUAAAUGAAGGGGCUCAACGAUACGGUGCGUGUUACGAAAAAGCUGAACGAACGGUGGGCAGUGGUUCAAAUAUGGACGACAUAAUUGCAGCAGCUCACGUUUGGCACAAAACUGAUUACAAGAAGAAGUCAAAUUUUGACAAGCAUUGGAACGAGCUUCGGAGGAUGCCCAAGUGGAGAACUCCAACAUCAAGUUGUGGAAGUGGAAAGACAACGAAAUUGAGUGAUUCCGGAACUUAUUCAACAUCAAUGAAUGAUGAGACGCAUGAGAAUGUUGCAGAAUCUCCUGUUCGUACUAAAGGUAGAAAUGCGGCAAAGAAUCGAAAAGGAAAGGGAAAGGCAAAAACAAAAAAAGAUGAAGAGUAUGAAGAGUUGAAAGCCGAUACUGAUAGAAGAUUAAAUUUAAUUGAGAAAUUUAAUGAUGUUCGACAAAAGGAUUGUGAUAUACGGAUCUUGAUGGUUGAUACAACUAUAAUGAAUGAUACUCAACGGGAGAUACAUGCCAAGUUGCUUGCUGAAGUGAAAUCAAGGAUGAUGUAGCCGUUGGAAUCUAGUAUUUGUCAUUUUCUUCUUGUAUUGUAUUUGUUGGAAGUUAGUGUUUGUCUUUUUCUUCUUGUAUUGUAUUCUUUGGAAGUUAGUAUUUGUCUUUUUCUUCUUGUAUUAUGUGCGUAUUGGUGAGUCAAAGGCAAUUGAAUGCUUGAAGAAAUUUGUCACUGAUGUUAUUUUGGUAUUUGAGGAUGAGUACUUGCGAAAGCCAAACUCUAAUGACGUACAACGUCUAUUAAAGAUGGGUGAGGAUCGCGGAUUUCCCGGUAUGAUGGGCAGUAUUGAUUGUAUGCAUUGGCAAUGGAAGAAUUUUCCUACAGCUUGGAAAGGAAUGUUUACGAGCGGCCAUAAAGGGGUUCCAACUAUAUUACUUGAAGCAGUCGCCUCAUCAGAUCUAUGGAUAUGGCAUGCAUUUUUUGGAGUUGCCGGUUCUAAUAAUGAUAUAAAUGUAUUAGAUCGGUCACCGGUAUUUGACGAAGUGCUACAAGGUCGUGCUCCUGAAGUAAAUUACAAUGUUAAUGGUCAUGAUUAUAAUAUGGGAUAUUACUUAACAGAUGGAAUUUAUCCGGAAUGGGCAACAUUCAUUAAAACUAUUCCACAUCCCCAGGGUGAUAAGAGAAGAUUAUUUGCAAAAUAUCAAGAAGGCCAAAAAAAAGAUGUCGAACGAGCAUUUGGUGUAUUACAGUCACGAUUCGCAAUUAUACGUGGUACAGCACGAUUUUGGGACAAAGGAGAUCUCGCCAAAAUAAUGAGGGCAUGUAUCAUAUUACAUAACAUGAUUGUCGAGGAUGAAAGAGAUACAUAUGCCACUCCAUUUGGUCCUCUACCGACUUACGAUGAUGCAACAAAUGGUUUAUCACAACCGAUUCUAGAGGAAAAACCUUUUAUUCCUUACGAAAGGUAUAUUCAAAAUAAUUUUCGAAUUCGUGACAGAGAGAAGCAUCGCCAACUACAAGCUGAUUUAAUUGAGCAUAUCUCGCAAUUUCAUAAUAAUCGUUAAUUUAUUUAAUAUGUAAUGUUUUUAAUUUUAUGUUUUUAAUUUAUGUUUUUCGUAUUCUUGUAAUGCAUUUUCAAGUUAUGUAUUUUCAUUUAAUUAUGAGUGUGUUUACUAAUAUAUUUUGUUUCUUAAAUAUCAUUUAAGUUAUGUUAUUAUAAUAAAUAAAAAAAAGGUUUACGGCUUGUGUUUAUCAAAUAUAAUAUAUGAAGUGAAUGAAUGAAAUCAUUCAUUUAUGCGGACUCGGGCUCUAAUGCGGUGGAGCAACACAGACAACUCCAAAACCAAACUACAUUUUGCUUGCGUGGCUCAGAAAAUGGGUCCUACAAAACUUGGAUCCGGGCUUUGCGUUGCUGAUGGUCUUAAAAAGCAAACCAGAUUAGUUAGGGUAAUUAAUUGAUUAGUGGCCGUAUGGCCCGUAUCUAUAGCCUUGCUGUUGAGAAUUAGUAAAUGGGCCAUAUAUCAUAAAAAUGAUUAGGUUCUCAGGUUACACAGUGACAGUUGGGAAUAUAAAUGGGGCGUCAAUCAUGUCCAUUGUCCAAGCCUCCAAAGCACUUAAUUUAAAUAAAAUAAAGCUUUUUAUGAAUACGAUAGAAUAUGUAAAUGAGAUUAAACGCUUGUUAAAAAUAAUUAAUGGACGUUGCAAAACGCCAAACGGGUUGUACCAUUUUUUUUGGAGAAAAAAAAUACAAUUUAAAUAUUUUCCAAAAAAUAAAGAUAUAUCAUCUACUAUCUACUAUAUCUAUUAAACGAGAACAAGUUCUUUUCCUGAGCAAAUUAAUUCCUCGGUUCGGACACUCCAAGCCUACUUCCAAACCUGCUCACACAUAUAGAAACCCAGAGACAUCUCUACAUCUUCACAGACAGACACUUGCAGCUUCUCCCCGGUCCCCGUUCAGUAUCCAUGUUCAUGUCAACGAAUUAGCAUAUACCACAAAAACCCUCACCUUUAGCGGUCUCUUAGCAUAUUAGUGAUAUAUGCAUAACAGCCCUAUAUGCACGUAUCAUUCUGCUACUUACCCCAUGUGUCCUGCCGUUUCUGUUUUCCGACCCACUGCCACCGUUGCCGCCUCGUCCUCUCCUCCAUCACUCUCCUUCAAUCAACCCCACCAAACAUUUUCUCAACAUCCCUUACCAAACCACGCAGAUUUUGCACUUUUUCCUCAUUUUCUUCAUCCAGGACUUCUGUCGAACACAUAGACUGUAAUGCUGAAGUUGAAGGAAUAUGGGAUUUUCCCAACUCUGGUGCCGCCACAGCUAAUGUGAACACAUGGUCUGGAGCUGCUAUGCUCACGCUGUUGCUCAGAGCGUUUAUCGCUGAUUCGUAUUUAGCAUUAUCGACGAUCAUCGUUGCUUCGUUUCUUUAUGUUCUGGUAUGAUAUGCAUUCGCUAUUUUGUUUACUUAUUAUUAUUACCACGAAUCAUGAUUAUGUUUUAAAUCUUUUUUGUUGUAAUUAAAUAUGAAGUAGCUGAAAAUUUGUAUAAUGAUAUAGAAUGAAGUGAUUUAUUGGUAACACAAGUGAUCAUGCUAUGGUAAUAGGUAAUAAGUAAUGUAAGUUCUUAACUUUGUAUACAUUUUAAGCAUUCUGCUGGUGUUCAAUUAAACGAUUGACAGUUUGGAAGGUUCAGAAAUGCAUUAAAUAUGUAUAUGUUUAUGAAUAUAGGCAUUCAUUUGGAUCUUAGAUUGUUCUAAAGAAUGUAAGAUAGCAAAGGGUUUAGAUCUGAGCCGCUUCAUCAUUGCUUAAUUGGGUGUUUAAGUAAGUCAAUUUAACUAACCGUUCACUUUAACCAACUCUACAUAAGUACAACUGUUUUUCCAGCCAACUGCAAUUAGAGCCUGAUCAUGCUCUAAAUUAGCUAUCUAGCUGUAGCUGCAUAUGACUGUUGUACAUUUUGCACAAUAUUUCAAAAUAAUGGCCCAUGACUACAAAUCCGAUGGUAAUUAAUAUUCUGUCACAAGAAAUGUACACUGCCAACUUAAUCCUAGCCAAAUGCAUGCUUUCUAUAUACUUUUUUCACCCAGCUAAAAUUUGAGUUAGCCAUCUACUUCCAAGAUCAUAGCAUGGCACAUGCCAUAUAUCGGUGUGAUUACAAAUGUAAAAUGUUAUAUACAAAUACUAUCAAGUAUCUAAAAGUCAAGAAAUGUGUUGAGGUGUGUCAUUCACUUACUUGAGCUCUUUAUAUUUUUCAAAAAAAAAAUCAAAUACAAGUAAUUUGGAUUCCAAAGAAUUCGUCCAUCAUAUAUGUUUGGAAUCAUUUGCAUAAUUCUUGGAUUUUUAUCAUGUAUGUACUCUGCUGGCAACACAAUCCUCAAUGUAAUGUAUUUAUAUAUUGGCCGAAGGUUUUGUUGUCACUUUUUGUAUCCUUAAAUGAUUUAGUUUUUGCUUCUCGUGUAGUUUCAUCUAAAUCACCUCAAAGUUGGGGCAGAUAUCAUGAUUCAAAGGGCACCUUAUCAGGUAAAUAAUAAUUACAUGAGUAAGAAAUCUCGAUGUGUGGAACUCAACUUUGGCUUACUUGCUCGAAGACAAGCAUCCAAGGUCUUUAUGCUGACUAUUCUGAAUCAGAAAUUAAUCCCAUGUAUGCUUAAAAGGAGGAUGAAGUUGCGCGUGCGACAAGGGAUAUCAGUUCUGAAGAUGUUUGAAAUUUGGUUCUGAAGAGGUGGAGGUUUAGAAGAAUCUCAAAUGUUCAAUAUAUUGUUCUUGCUCCAUGAAUGGAGAGUUACGAGGCUUAUUUGGCUGAUGGUUCUGAUGGCAGGUACUCCUUUAGUACUUGAGUAUGUUUUCAGGUCCUUAGCUUUUAGCAGAAAUCAUUGUGUCAGAGAUGCCAAGUGAAAAAGAAAUUAUGCAUGAGACAGAUUUUUAUUGGUCCCAUCUAUAUGAUGUGUUCUAUUUAUCAAAUUUUAAUUUAUCUUAGGGUCUUUUUUUUUAAAACUUCUGAAGGUAACUGCUCAUAAUGCGGACUAACAGUACUGUGUAUAAAAUAUAUCUGCAAUUCUGCAUAGUACAUAAUGCCAUCUUUGUCUGCUGUUCCAUUAUGUGAAAAACUUUCAUCAUAAAUGGGUAAAUAUUCAAACAGAAGUUGGUGCGUUUUCCCCAAUAUGCAAACCUGAGUGUCACCACCCCAGAUACUCAUAUUGUGUGAUUGAAAUAUAUGUACUAGUGUUAUUAAUUCUUUUUGUUUACAAGCCUUAGCUAGCUGCAUGUCAUUCCUUUGUUUUUGCCUUGUAGUGAUUGAGUAAGUACUUUUUUAUGCCAAGUCUUUUUGUGUUAAAUACUCCUGUUGGAGAGCACGAUUGGAUAGCCAAGUGGUGGGUUUAUCCUCUAUUGUUCCGCGAAACCUGGGUUCGGGUUCGACUCUGGCUCAUUCCGAGAAGUAUUAGAACAUAUACUUAUUUGUAAGGCAUAUUAGCCUAUAUUGUCAAAAAAAAUUGAAAAAAAUACUCCUGUUUGAACAUAUAUCAAAUCUUAGCAUAGGAGAUACUCUAAUCUUGAAUUAUAAGCAUGGGACGUAGAAAAACAAUGUCAAAACAAUCCUUCCUUCUUUCCCCUUGUUACAAAAUAUUUUCUUCAGCACAAGAAGUACGACAAAAACAUUAAACAACAAUCAAAGAUAUAUUUUAAACACAACUGAAGACCCUUGAUUCAUUUACAGACCUUUCUGUGGUACAAGGGUUCUGGGAAACACUUUAAUGGGGACUUUUCAAUGGCUGUAGUUCAAGCCAAUAAUUUACUGGAGGAUCAGAGUCAGCUUGAAUCAGGCUGUCUGAGCUUGAACGAGUCAGGCCCGUAUUGUACUUCUGUAGGAGUUUAUGAUUCAUGUGGCCUUGAAUCAGGCUGUCUGAGCUUGAACGAGUCAGGCCCGUAUUGUACUUCUGUAGGAGUUUAUGAUGGACAUGUGGCCGUGAGACAUUGCGUUUAUCAGUGUUCAACUCUUUCAGCUUCUAAAGAGUAGGUAUCGUUUCUUCUAAUAGAGUUUUAAGUCAUUGUAUUGGAUUUGUUAGUUUCUUACAAGAAAUAAGAUAUACUAAAUGGACGCAAACCGUAGAUUUUGUUGAAUACUGGUCACUGGUGUUUAUUAGUCAUUUGAACCUUCAUGAUGACACAGUUGUAGCUGACUUGUUCUGUACAUGUUUUUGUUUUAGGCCAAACCCUAUUAAAUUUGACGUGUUCCUUAAAAAAAACCGAGGAUGGUUCCAUUCAUGUAUGGGGAACCAAAUAAAAUGAACUUGUAAACAAUUGAGGAAUCAUUGAUGUGUAUGCUUUUAGUCUCUCUUACUUUUCCGAGGGUUUGAGGUUAAUUAUAUGUCUGUGUUUGACAGAAUUUGCAUCUGAGCAUCAAUCCAUGUUAGAGGAGGUAAGAAAAGCAUUCUAUGCAACAGAAGAGAGUUUUACAUCUAUUGUUCGCGAGCAAUGGCCAAUACAACCACAACUUGCCGCAGUUGGGUCCUGUUGCUUGGUUGGAGUGAUAUGCAAUGGAAAUCUCUAUAUUGCAAAUCCUGGUGAUUCAUGUGCUGUGUUAGGCAGGUUUGUCAAGGCAACAGGGGAAGUUCUUGCUAUUCAGCUUUUAGCGGAACAUAAUACGUGCAUCAAGUCUGUAAGACAAGAGUUACAUUCUGUUCACCCAGAUGAUCGGCGAAUAGCUGUAAUCAUAUGUAAUUCCUGUCUACGGGUCCCGGAUCUAUCUUUCCAAAGUCGACAACUCAAAAAAUGUAAGACUCUGAACUUGUAAAUUUAUACUUUUCACUAGCCAUUUGGUCUGCCACAAUGAUGUCUAACACCUUGAAGACCUUAGUUGUGUUGACCAAUACUAGCUCCAUGGCUAUCCGUCUCAGCCACUAUCAGCCUUCUGCAACUAUUUUUGCCUUUACAAAUGAGUUAGUUGUACAAUUACAUUCUUAAUUUGAGUAUGAUGCUUACCUUCCUUGAUUGUAGGUGCUGAUUGAAGGUACAUGGAGGGUCCAGUUAGUAUUUAAAGUUGAAAGAAACAAUUGCUCCUGAUAAUUAUUGAUAAUAAAUGCCUACGAAUGUUAAUAGUACUUUUUCUUCAUGAUUGUCUUUCUUUUUGUAGGAGGUCCUGUUUUAAAUCCUCAUUAAUUAUGUGGAGAUUUAAGCCUUUCACGCAUAAAGAACAAGCGGGACUUGAAGGACGCGUCGUUGACAUUGGCAAUCUGAAAGUCCACGUCCGUAAUGUCAUUGCUGAGGGAGGGUUUUCUUGUGUUUACCUAGCUCGAGAUGCUAUAAAUGGUCCUAAACAGUAUGCAAUAAAGCACAUUAUUUGCAAUGAUGAAGAAUCCCUUGAAAUGGUGAUGAAGGAAAUCUCUGUGAUGAAAUCACUUAAAGGGCACCCAAAUGUUGUUACUCUAUGUGCACAUACCAUAAUGGACAUGGGCCGCACAAAAGAGGCUCUUCUUGUGAUGGAGUAUUGUGAGAAGUCUCUGGUUAAUGUGCUUGAGAGUAGAGGGGCUGGUUACUAUGAGGAGAAACAGAUACUUGCUAUUUUCAGGGAUGUGUGUAAUGCAGUCUUUGCUAUGCAUUGCCAGUCCCCGCCUAUUGCUCACAGGUAAUUAAGAACAUUUUUAAAGAUUUUUAAUAUUCAUUGUUUACUAUAAUCUUCAGAAGUCUUUUUUGAUUCUGGUGCCUUUGGACUUUCUGUUCAAAGCAGUUUGAUCUCUUAACAGUUGCUCCUGUGUAGAGUGCAUAUUGUAGUUAAGUUUGUAGUUUCUAUUUAAAUUGCAUGCGUACUUCUCUUUAUUAAGUUGUCCAAAGCUUUUUAAAUGCAGUUAAAAACUGGACAUAUUGUCAAAAUCUGCCCAUCAUCUCAGGAUUGUAUUUUUAACUUAAGCUCUUGUGUGCUACCACUAACCCUCAACUGAACUCUCAGUAAAUGAAAUAACAAACUAGGAUCUACUAAAAAAUCUUGCCAGUACCUUUUCUCGUUUGAUACUAAGUACCUGGGUAGAUUAUAUUAGAAUUUUACAGAGCAUAUGCAUCUGCAUUAAGAGUUGUUCUUGUGGGACUACAUUUUCUUAACAAAGCACUGUUGAUGCACUAUUGUAAACUAUUUACGGAGGGUAUUUGUGUUUGUAACACAAUACUAAGAUGGCAGUGUUAAUUAGGUAUCAAGGCUGUAUGGGUAAUAAAUUAAUGAAAAGUUGGCCUGAGGCCUGGGGCUAGGCAAAGGGUUUGGAUUGGCUGUGGCAUGGGCUGAAUGACUGUCCAAAAAAAUAAACUGAAAAUAACAGUUAAGCUAUAAUGCAAUAGUUGAAAAUGACCAAGAUAAGAGGAAAAAAUCCUUAAUCAUUUGUUUUUAAGCAAAAUGCUAUUAUCAUCUUAGCCUUUCAAUUAUUUUUUUACAUGUGUUUUAAAAAGAAGGUAACUGCCUAGUGAAUCGGCUAGCUCGAUAAUAUCAUAGCAGUUACCCAUGCUUUUUUUUUUGCUAUAAGUCACAGUGGAGCUUGAAUCUUUUGGUUUUGGAGUUUGGAUGUGUGUAAGUUUGUAGUACAUUUGAAAGUGAGGCAGUUAAAACAAGUUUGAAUUUUAUGGGUCAAAAGAGUUUUGUGUAAAUGCCUCUGUAGCCUUGCUGUUACAUUUGUUUGUGCUCUUUCUUCUCUCCUAUCCUUGCAUGUUAUGAUAUAAUUUAUCCUGGACACAUCUAACCAUUUUCUUUCUUUUUGACUGGUUUCAGAAAAAUAGAAGGGUUGGAAAGUUUUAAAUUGACAUUAAGGAGAGACAAUGUUAUAAGUAUACGAGAACUAAUAAUAGAAGAGAAGAAACUUGAAUGAAUUGUUUAACCGUGAAUUAAGUGUUAAUUCAUAACUAAGUUAAAGGACUAUUUGGUUCAACUCCCGAAAAAAGAAUGAAAUUCAGAAAGUGACAUACGAAAUCUUUUAUAUUAUGUAUUCUUAUAAAUUUUCUAAAAGUUCUUCAACUUUUUUAAUCGUGCUAGAUAAAAAUUUGUGCUCAUAAAUCUUUGUAUGUCCUAUAUAUUGUUGUUUUGUUCUUUAAUGUUAAUAUUUUUUUAUUUUUAUUUUCAUUUAUAAGUUCCAAGAUAUUGUGUUCUGUAAUUAUUUAUAUGUGUUCUUGUUAGUUAGGAUCUAGGGAAUUCAGUUAAAGGUUAUGGACAAAUUUAGUGUUUAUUGGUGUAUGAUUAAUAUGAUCUGCAUUAUGUAAUAACAAAAAUAUUGUCCUUUCAAACGAGUAUUCAUGUUUUUCAAUUGGGUAUUUCAUAUUUUGAAACAAGAAUGUCAACUUUGAAUGCAUAGAGUGGAUACUGCAAAAAGGCUACAGAACAAAUGGACAUAUACAACUUUUAUGUAAUGUUGUUAGAACUGGUGACAGGCAGGGAAGCUGAUGAGCAAUAUAGAAUCAGAGGAGUGAGGACACAUAAGUUAAAUUAACCAAACUAAUGGCAAUCCAAGUAGUUGAUUCUCAAACUCUGUCUUGACAAAUACUAUUACGAGCUCUAUAUUGUGGUCGGAUGCACAUCUGUGGCCACCAAUGUGUGAGGUUCUGAGAGCUCUGCAGAGUUUUUAAUUCAACUUCUCACCUUUCAGAUAUAAUGUUCCUGCUUCACGUAGAGUGUUUGAUAUGAUUUAUAUGUAACUUUUGGACAAUGACUAUGAAAUGUUGCACUUUGUACAUACACCUGGUUUUUGGCAUUUUGGUUCUAGAAUAGAAUGUGGUUUGAGUAUGGGGAUAAAACAUGAACAUGUGGUAAAAUUGCGUCAGAUUUGGCUUGAGGAGAAAAAAAGAACAUGUAGAAGAGUAAUAUUAGGAUUGAUAUUAUGUGUAACUUUUGACUGUUGUGGGUGUAACUUUGGCCACGGGAUAAUAUUAGGACUGAAUAAAUAGAGAUGAAACUAUCUGAGAGUUAUCAUUUGUCUUCUAUUACAAUAAAAUAUCAUUUAUCAAAAUUAAAAUUGUCAUUUAUUUGUGUCAGGAGUUACUAAAAAUUUAUAAUAUAUUAAUAUCAUUAAAAGUCAUAUUUAACUUUUUGAAAAACAACGAUAUAAUCACAGUGAAUAGAAUUUUUAUACGAGGCCCGUGCCUUGCACGGGCACUAAUGCUAGUUAAUCAAAUAAUAUGAUAACGUCAGCUAACGUAGUUCUUCUUUUCAAGUCAUAUAUAUUUACUAAAUUUUUGAAAGAGUAAGUUGAAAAAAAAGGAACAAUAUGAACAAAAUAAUUGUAGAUUAUUUUUGUUGGAGGAAACUAAAAUAUAGUUAAUUCUAAAUUUUGUCGACACGGAAAAUAGUUCACGUAUUUGUUAUAAAAAAAAUAAUAAUUUAUAAAAUAAAAAUAAUAUAUUUUAAAUAUCAACUAUCAACUUAAGGGUUCAGACUCAAUACGAGGAAUGCUAGAUCUCUCAUAAAAUAUUUCAAAAUUUUUAAAAAGCAACGUGUCAAAUUGUUCUCAGCUGCUCCCUUGUAAAUGUAAUGACCCUUUAAAGGAAGAUCUCAAGAGGAUGACGUGUCAUCUCUCAAAUCUCUCCUUUCCAUGGUUCUAAAUUUUGGGCUCUUUAACAAUUUAAAAUUAAAUUAAAAUAUUUUAUAAGUUAAUAAUUGACCUUUUGUUUUCCUAACAUUCUAUAUCUAUAUAUUUAUAUAAAGUAAAAUCUCGGACGGAUCCCGCAGAUGGUGACAUGGUGCUCUAGACAAUCUCCAAUCUAUUUUCCCUGUUUUCCUAAGCCUCCAAGUUCUGUAUUUUGCUUUAUUUUGUUUUUGUAUUUUACUCUUUGUCUUCCUUGCUUAUUAAUUAUUUCCGUUACAGAAUUUUGGUUUACCAUUGCCAUGACCUUUUGCUUUCCAUGCCAUGAUAUAUAUAUAGUGUGAGCUAUUCACGAAAAAUUUGUGUCCCCUGCCAAAAAUUGAGGUUGUUCAGCUCGAUUUCAUUUUACAGAGGUGAUUCUCAAGCUCUUUCCUUUUUUAUUGCUUAUAUGUAUCUGUGCCGAGGAAGAUCUCAAGAGGAUGACGUGUCAUCUCUCAAAUCUCUCCUUUCCAUGGUUCUAAAUUUUGGGCUCUUUAACAAUUCAAAAUCAAAUUAAAAUAUUUUAUAAGUUAAUAAUUGACCUUUUGUUUUCCUAACUUUCUAUAUAUUUAUAUAAAGUAAAAUCUCGGACGGAUCCCGCAGAUGGUGACAUGGCGCUCUAGACAAUCUCCAAUCUAUUUUCCCUGUUUUCCUAAGCCUCCAAGUCUGUAUUUUGCUUUAUUUUGUUUUUGUAUUUUACUCUUUGUCUUCCUUGCUUAUUAAUUAUUUCCGUUACAGAAUUUUGGUUUACCAUUGCCAUGACCUUUUGCUUUCCAUGCCAUGAUAUAUAUAUAGUGUGAGCUAUUCACGAAAAAUUUGUGUCCCCUGCCAAAAAUUGAGGUUGUUCAGCUCGAUUUCAUUUUACAGAGGUGAUUCUCAAGCUCUUUCCUUUUUUAUUGCUUAUAUGUAUCUGUGCCGAGGAAGAUCUCAAGAGGAUGACGUGUCAUCUCUCAAAUCUCUCCUUUCCAUGGUUCUAAAUUUUGGGCUCUUUAACAAUUUAAAAUUAAAUUAAAAUAUUUUAUAAGUUAAUAAUUGACCUUUUGUUUUCCUAACAUUCUAUAUCUAUAUAUUUAUAUAAAGUAAAAUCUCGGACGGAUCCCGCAGAUGGUGACAUGGUGCUCUAGACAAUCUCCAAUCUAUUUUCCCUGUUUUCCUAAGCCUCCAAGUCUGUAUUUUGCUUUAUUUUGUUUUUGUAUUUUACUCUUUGUCUUCCUUGCUUAUUAAUUAUUUCCGUUACAGAAUUUUGGUUUACCAUUGCCAUGACCUUUUGCUUUCCAUGCCAUGAUAUAUAUAUAGUGUGAGCUAUUCACGAAAAAUUUGUGUCCCCUGCCAAAAAUUGAGGUUGUUCAGCUCGAUUUCAUUUUACAGAGGUGAUUCUCAAGCUCUUUCCUUUUUUAUUGCUUAUAUGUAUCUGUGCCGAGGAAGAUCUCAAGAGGAUGACGUGUCAUCUCUCAAAUCUCUCCUUUCCAUGGUUCUAAAUUUUGGGCUCUUUAACAAUUCAAAAUCAAAUUAAAAUAUUUUAUAAGUUAAUAAUUGACCUUUUGUUUUGCUAAAUUUCUAUAUAUUUAUAUAAAGUAAAAUCUCGGACGGAUCCCGCAGAUGGUGACAUGGCGCUCUAGACAAUCUCCAAUCUAUUUUCCCUGUUUUCCUAAGCCUCCAAGUCUGUAUUUUGCUUUAUUUUGUUUUUGUAUUUUACUCUUUGUCUUCCUUGCUUAUUAAUUAUUUCCGUUACAGAAUUUUGGUUUACCAUUGCCAUGACCUUUUGCUUUCCAUGCCAUGAUAUAUAUAUAGUGUGAGCUAUUCACGAAAAAUUUGUGUCCCCUGCCAAAAAUUGAGGUUGUUCAGCUCGAUUUCAUUUUACAGAGGUGAUUCUCAAGCUCUUUCCUUUUUUAUUGCUUAUAUGUAUCUGUGCCGAGGAAGAUCUCAAGAGGAUGACGUGUCAUCUCUCAAAUCUCUCCUUUCCAUGGUUCUAAAUUUUGGGCUCUUUAACAAUUCAAAAUCAAAUUAAAAUAUUUUAUAAGUUAAUAAUUGACCUUUUGUUUUCCUAACUUUCUAUAUAUUUAUAUAAAGUAAAAUCUCGGACGGAUCCCACAGAUGGUGACAUGGCGCUCUAGACAAUCUCCAAUCUAUUUUCCCUGUUUUCCUAAGCCUCCAAGUCUGUAUUUUGCUUUAUUUUGUUUUUGUAUUUUACUCUUUGUCUUCCUUGCUUAUUAAUUAUUUCCGUUACAGAAUUUUGGUUUACCAUUGCCCAUGGCCUUUUGCUUUCCAUGCCAUGAUAUAUAUAUAGUCUGAGCUAUUCACGAAAAAUUUGUGUCCCCUGCCAAAAAUUGAGGUUGUUCAGCUCGAUUUCAUUUUACAGAUGUGAUUCUCAAGCUCUUUCCUUUUUUAUUGCUUAUAUGUAUCUGUGCCGAUUUAUAGGGUAAAAUUUGUGAUUCUAAUCAGUUUUGUAGGGUAAAAUUUGUGAUUCUCAUCAGUUUUUUGAGUUGAGUGUUUAUUAAUUUGGUGAUUUUUUUUAUGGGUGUUUUGAUUUUGAUUUUCUUGAUGUCUCUGGAUUGUAGGUAUUUUGGAUAGUUUGAGUCAUUGUAGUGUGAUUGAUGAAUUGCAGCUAGCCUCAGAAAUGGUUUACAAUUACCAAUUUUCUGAGGAAUUUAUAAUUGGUUGCAUUGGGUCAUGGCAACGCACACAGUGCUUCUGCCAGGAACUUUCCGGCAACUGUGCGGAAGUCUGGAAUUGGCUUUUCAUCGAGAUAUAUUUGCCUGAUAUGAGGAAUGUCACGUGCGACCGACGAAACAGGCUAAUUGUGAUUAUUUAUGUUGUCUCGAUCAUAUAUAUAGUGUUGCGGUUGUAAUUAAUCGAUCAAGCUAUUUUUUUUUCUUCUGGGAGGAAUAAUUUUAGCUUAUGUGCCAAUGUCAAUUGUUUGCCUGUAUAAAAUUGCAACUUUUCAAUAUACAGUGUCUCUUAAAUGUUAAUCAAGUUAGUACAUUGCAACUUUUCAAUAUACAGUGUCUCUUAAAUGUUAAUCAAGUUAGUACAUUGCUUUUGUGGACAUUUGUCCUGCCACUGGCCCACUGACAUAGUUUCUAGCCAUGGCCAUGCAGGAAAUUAAAGAUCAUUACAAACUCACUAAUCUAUGUACGACUGCUUUGGAAGAUGAAGAAAUUCCUUUCCAUGUUUCUAAAUUUUGGGCUCUUUAACAAUUUAAAAUUAAAUUAAAAUAUUUUGUAAGUUAAUAAUUGACCUUUUGUUUUCCUAACUUAUUAGUUAACUAGUGAAUAAAGCCGCGCUUCGCGGCGGCGUUAUAAAUUUUGUAUAAAUUUUGAUGCGAAUUAAUAUUAUAAUAGCAUAAAAAUUAUUUUGAGUCAUCUUCUGGUCAAACACACUAAUAAAACAAAUAUUAUAAUUAGUAUAAAAUUCUUUUUAAAUGGUCAUCCUGUCAAACACAAUACUAAUAAUAAAAUUAGUUCGAACCGCCCUCCCGUCAAAGACAAUAUUAAUCCAUAAUUUUUAUUUUUAUGAUAAAAUUAAAUAUUACCGUAUAAUUUAGAUCAAAAUCAGUUUGAGCCGCUCUCUUGUCAAAUACAAUACUAAAUAUAUAUAAAGGAAGAUCUCAAAAAAAAAGGAAGAUCUCAAGAGGAUGACGUGUCAUCUCUCAGAUCUCUCCUUUCCAUGUUUCUAAAUUUUGGGCUCUUUAACAAUUUAAAAUUAAAUUAAAAUAUUUUAUAAGUUAAUAAUUGACCUUUUGUUUUCCUAACUUAUUAGUUAACUAGUGAAUAAAGCCGCGCUUCGCGGCGGCGUUAUAAAUUUUGUAUAAAUUUUGAUGCGAAUUAAUAUUAUAAUAGCAUAAAAAUUAUUUUGAGUCAUCUUCUGGUCAAACACACUAAUAAAACAAAUAUUAUAAUUAGUAUAAAAUUCUUUUUAAAUGGUCAUCCUGUCAAACACAAUACUAAUAAUAAAAUUAGUUCGAACCGCCCUCCCGUCAAAGACAAUAUUAAUCCAUAAUUUUUAUUUUUAUGAUAAAAUUAAAUAUUACCGUAUAAUUUAGAUCAAAAUCAGUUUGAGCCGCUCUCUUGUCAAAUACAAUACUAAUAAAAAUUAUUCUAAUUAUGAUAAAAUUAAAGGUUAUAAUUGGAAAAAAAUUAUUUUGAACUGUGGUCCCGUUUUAACAAAUAAUAUAUUAUAACAUAGAUAAAAAAUUAUUUUAGCCAUUUCACGUCCAACAUAAUACUAAUAAAAAAAUUAUUAUUAUUUAGAUAAAAAUUAGUUUGGGCCGCCUCCCGUGCCCGUCAAACACAAUACUAAUCAAGAAAAUUUACAUUAUCAUAAAAUCAAUAUAUCCUAUUUUAUUUUAUUAAUUAUUUUUAUUUUAUGAUUCCUAUUUAUUAGUUAAAAAUUAUUAUUUUUUUAUGGUUCUAAUUUUUUUGCUAUUAGUUUUUUUAGUGAUUAUUAUCUUUACAAUCCUUUAUUUUCUAUUCGAAAUUUAAGAAAAUUAUAAGACUAAAUCGAAAAUAAAAAUUGUACGUAUUACCUUACACAUCUUAAAUAUAAAUUGUAUUUUAUCUAUGAUUGUUAGUUUAAAUAAAUAUAAAAAUUAUUCUAAUUAUGAUAAAAUUAUACAUUAUGAUUGGAUAAAAAUUAUUUUGAACCGUGGUCCCGUUUUAAUAAGAAAAUAUAUUAUAACAUAGAUAAAAAAAUUAUUUUAACUACUUUCCCGUGAAACAUAAUACUAAUAGAAAAAUUAUUAUUAUUUAGAUAAAAAUUAAUUUGGGUCGCCUCCCGUGCCGUCAAACACAAUACUAAUCAAGAAUCAUUUACAUUAUCAUAAAAUCAACAUAUGAUUACUAUUUUACAUAUCCUAUUUUUCCUUUUUGAUAAGCCAUAAAAAAUAUAAAAAAAUUAUUUUAUUUUAUUAAUUAAUUUUAUUUUAUGAUUCCUAUUUUUUAGUUAAAAAUUAUUAUUCUUUUAUGAUUCUAAUUUUUUUUGCUAUUAUUUUUUAAUGAUUAUUGUCUUUACAAUCUUUUAUUUUCUACUCGAAAUUUAAGAAAAUUAUAAAAUUACCUUACAANNNNNNNNNNNNNNNNNNNNNNNNNNNNNNNNNNNNNNNNNNNNNNNNNNNNNNNNNNNNNNNNNNNNNNNNNNNNNNNNNNNNNNNNNNNNNNNNNNNNNNNNNNNNNNNNNNNNNNNNNNNNNNNNNNNNNNNNNNNNNNNNNNNNNNNNNNNNNNNNNNNNNNNNNNNNNNNNNNNNNNNNNNNNNNNNNNNNNNNNNNNNNNNNNNNNNNNNNNNNNNNNNNNNNNNNNNNNNNNNNNNNNNNNNNNNNNNNNNNNNNNNNNNNNNNNNNNNNNNNNNNNNNNNNNNNNNNNNNNNNNNNNNNNNNNNNNNNNNNNNNNNNNNNNNNNNNNNNNNNNNNNNNNNNNNNNNNNNNNNNNNNNNNNNNNNNNNNNNNNNNNNNNNNNNNNNNNNNNNNNNNNNNNNNNNNNNNNNNNNNNNNNNNNNNNNNNNNNNNNNNNNNNNNNNNNNNNNNNNNNNNNNNNNNNNNNNNNNNNNNNNNNNNNNNNNNNNNNNNNNNNNNNNNNNNNNNNNNNNNNNNNNNNNNNNNNNNNNNNNNNNNNNNNNNNNNNNNNNNNNNNNNNNNNNNNNNNNNNNNNNNNNNNNNNNNNNNNNNNNNNNNNNNNNNNNNNNNNNNNNNNNNNNNNNNNNNNNNNNNNNNNNNNNNNNNNNNNNNNNNNNNNNNNNNNNNNNNNNNNNNNNNNNNNNNNNNNNNNNNNNNNNNNNNNNNNNNNNNNNNNNNNNNNNNNNNNNNNNNNNNNNNNNNNNNNNNNNNNNNNNNNNNNNNNNNNNNNNNNNNNNNNNNNNNNNNNNNNNNNNNNNNNNNNNNNNNNNNNNNNNNNNNNNNNNNNNNNNNNNNNNNNNNNNNNNNNNNNNNNNNNNNNNNNNNNNNNNNNNNNNNNNNNNNNNNNNNNNNNNNNNNNNNNNNNNNNNNNNNNNNNNNNNNNNNNNNNNNNNNNNNNNNNNNNNNNNNNNNNNNNNNNNNNNNNNNNNNNNNNNNNNNNNNNNNNNNNNNNNNAUUAUUAUUCUUUUAUGAAUUACUAUUUUACAUAUCCUAUUUUCCUUUUUGAUAAGCCAUAAAAAUAUAAAAAAUUAUUUAUUUUAUUAAUUAAUUUAUUUUAUGAUUCCUAUUUUUAGUUAAAAAUUAUUAUUCUUUUAUGAUUCUAAUUUUUUUUGCUAUUAUUUUUUAAUGAUUAUUGUCUUUACAAUCUUUUAUUUUCUACUCGAAAUUUAAGAAAAUUAUAAAAUUACCUUACAAAUCGUAAAUAUAAAUUGUAUUUUAUCUAGGACUAGUUGAGAAGCCGCACGUUGCGGCAGCCUAUAAAAAUUAUAUUAAUGAUUCAAUAUUAAUAUUUGUAGAAUAAAAUAAUUUUGUGGCUGUUUAUAAAAAGUAUAUAUUAAUGUUUCAAAAUUAAUAUUUGUAGGAUAAAAUAAAUUUAUAUUAUAAAAAUCUUGAUGUAAUACUAAUACUAAUAUAUAAAAUUACAAAAUUGGACUAUAAUUCAUGGUGAAAAAAUGAAAAUAAAUUUAUACACGUAAUUAACAAUUUAAAGCAUGACGAAUCUUAAUUUUUUUUUUUUUUGAAAAGUAAUCAUGUUUUUACAUUGUCACUUUCUUCCAAUUUUUUUUGGAUUGAUUGUGAGCAAAAAACAUCUAACUUAAAUCUGUGAGAUAGCGGUGUAUAACAACCCUUAUUUGUAACAAUAUUUAAUUUUUAAUACUGUAUAAAUAAGUUUUACUUAAAAGUUACUUGAACGGAGCAAACAGAUAAUGCAUGUAUACUUUUUUAUUGUAUACAAAGUAAAUCAUAUAAAAAUUAACAACAACAAACAUGUCCGAUGAACAUAACAAAUAUUAUAAAAGAAUAACGAACAAACAUACAACACUAAUAGUUAAUUUAUUGAUAUCAACCAUCAAUAUCAUGUCAAGACUAUAUUCUUUUCCUGUGUUUGGAUUUGUCGACUCCAAUAUAGCGGUGUAUAACUACCUUUCCCGUGUUUAGAUGAUCCAAAACCCUACAAUCUAUAGAGGUAUUUAUAAGUGCAGAGAGACUUGUGUGCUACUAUUUCUCAUAAUUAAAUAAUCUGAAACAAAAUCAGAUUAAAACUUACAAGUUACUAUAUUGCAUAAAUAAUCUGUCUUUCCCAUAAUUAAAUAAUCUGAAACAAAAUCAGAUUAAAACUUUCUAAAACUUUCAAUUUACUAUAUUCCAUAAAUAAAUUGUCUUUCCCAUAAUUAAAUAAUCUGAAACAAAAUCAGAUUAAAGUUUUCAAGCUACUAUAUUCCAUAAAUAAUUUGAAACAAAAUCAGAUUCUGAAACUUGCUUCUAAUAUACCCGAAAGUAAAAAAGGUAGUUCUAAUUUUUUGAUAUUUUUCAUCCAAAAAAUCCAAAAAAUUAGAAAAAUAGAAUGGAGCGAUGUGAGAGGCGCCACCUACACGCCCCUCGCUUCUCCUUUAUAUAAGCAUAUUGAUGAUUGUUAGUUUAAAUAAAUAUAAUCCUAUUCCUUUUAGGAUUCCUAAAUAAGAAAAGAAUUGUAUUACUAUUUUCAAUCCGAAAUUUAAGAAAAUUAUAAGAAAAGAGUUUUAUUUUUUAGAAUCCAAUAAAAAAAGAAUUGUAUUACCUUUAAGAUCCGUGAAUUUGAUUUUUUGAACUAUAAUUUUAUUUUUUAUUCGAAAUUUGAGAAAAUUAUAAGAUUGAAUCCAACUAUUAUCGAGAUUGGUUGUAAGUCAAUGCAUACUAUUUGAAUGAGGUUGUGAAAAUCUUAAAGAUGUUUUCAUAAUAGAGAUGCAAUCUUCUUGACCACUAUGGAACGAUGGGAGUUUAGCGCUACAAACCUGUUUAGACAAUUUGAGAUUCUGCAAUAUGCUGGUUUUUAUUUUUUAGAUAUAUAAUUUGAAAAAAAUUAAUAUAAUAAGAUUAUAAAUUUUAUAACUUUUAAAAAUAAGAAUUGUAUUUUUAAAUUAUAUUUGUUCAAUAAUUGUUAUUUUGAAUAAAUAAAACACAGGGCCAUCCUUGCUUAGUUUUUUGUUGCAAGCAAUACAAAUUAAGUUGGUGAUAAUCAGUAUCUGACCGUUCAAGAUGAUGACGAUGAGCUAAUUGAAAAUAAAAAUUGUAUUAACUUACAUUACAAAUUUUAAAUAUAAAUUGUAUUUUAUCAAUAAUAGCUAGUAAUCCUAUUGCUUUUAAGAUUUGUAAAUAAUAUCAUCUUUAGAAUUCGAUAAGAAAAGAGUUGUAUUACUUUUAGAAUUCUUGAACCUGAUUUUUUGAAUUAUAAUUAUAUUUUUUAUCCGAAAUUUAAGAAAAAUUAGAAAACUGAAUCAAACAAUUCUAGAGUCGCCCUGCAUCCUCCUUUAAAAUAAGAAAAGAAUUGUAUCAUCUUUAUAAUUUGAUAAGAAAAGAGUUGUAUUACUUUUAGAAUUCUUGAACCUGAUUUUUUGAAUUGUAAUUAUAUUUCUAUCCGAAAGUUAAGAAAAAUCAGAAGACUGAAUCGAACAAUUCUAGAGACGCCCGCAUCCUCCUUUAUAUAUAUAUAUUGAUUGAUUGAUAAUUGACCUUUUGUUUUCCUAACUUAUUACUCUAUUACAGUUAAAGAUUUUUCAUUAUAUCUGGAGCUUUGGAUCCACAAUGUUAUUCAGCCUUUGUCUUCCCAUUCACAUGAUCCAGAAGGUUCAUACUGAGGUCGCUAAAGGCAUCAAUGGCCUCGAUAGAUUCAUCCUCCGUCAAGCUCGCGGCAGCACCGCUUUCUUGCCUUUUUUUUACAGAUGUAUUUGUAUGGCGCCUAUGUCACUUCUUGAAAGAAUGCCUGUGGAGAGGAGUUGCUUCUUCUCAGUAGUAAGGUAUCAUGUGCUUCAUCGGGAUAGAUGAUGCAAAAUUGUGAUAUAUACAUACUUCUUUCAGUAGGCUGUGCAUACAUGGAAUACGGCUGAAUUGUUAUCAGUUGAAUUAGCAGAAAUACAGUUGUUUUCAUGUCCCUUCAACCUUCAGGUAGCCUGAAAAUUUCCAUGUUGGCCAGUUGGUCCGUUCCAUUCCAAGGUUCUAGCAAUUGUUAUUUGUUAUGAAGGCCCCUUUCCCUGGAUAUACACCCAACAUAUGACCUGAAUUUAUUUCUUAAUUAUUUUAUAUGAAUGAUUAGAGUCCGAAAAUUAUUUUGAUAUAUAGUAGUUUUCCCCAUUUAUAAAUUAGUUGUAAUUUUUUUUAAAUAAGUGUGAUCUGCCGACAUGUAUGUUUAUGUUAUUUGCCUCAUGAAAUGAAUAGAAAAAAAGAAGUUCAACUUGAAACUUACAGGGCAUUAUGAAAGUGAAACUGCUUGUAUCAAGGCUUGCUGCUGCCCAUUCCAUUCCAUACUAGACAAUUACUCAAUUCAGAUCCCGGUAUAUGUGUUUGUCGUGUGUUGAAAUCCUCUUCGAGUUUUGUAUCCCAAAUGAAGUUACAGCUUGACAGAGAUAUGUUGUGGCCUUAAUUGAAGCAAUGAACACGGUUGUGGAAGUUGCCACUUCCCUCGAAACUUAAAGUAAGAUAUCAUGCAUUGUUUUUCCACUUAAACCAAUAUAUGGAGCAACUGAUAUAACUCUUCUGAGCUCUGAUCAGAAGCCAGAUCUUCGCUCAUCAGGAUAUGACCCUAGACCGUCUUUCAGCCAAGCUCAGUUGGGGGAGGCUCCAUGUCAUAAGGGUGUAGCAACUAUUUUACCAGUUGCAGGGGAGCUCCACAUAGUUAGCAUGUUACAACAACAAACUCAGGGGCCAACAUCAAAAGUUAGCAGGCACAGAUGGAUGAGCAGAGAUAAUUGUACCUAAGUAACUGUAUUACAUGUUGCAACGCUAUGGGGGACGAGUGGACUAAAUUCCCAAUUACGCUAACCUGGGCAAAUAAUUCAGAGGACAUUUCAAGUCUCCGUUUGAUCCAAAUACAAGCUUCCCGCAAUGUUUUCUUGAUGAAUUUGAUGGCGAAGGAACAUUAUUACUUUUAGCUUCUGGUUGGUGAUGUUUGAGCAAGGAAGAAGCUGCUGCAUUUGAUUCGGUCGGAGGUUUCCCAUCCAAGCAUCUUGAUGAACCACUGAAAGCAUUGAACUUGGAAACUAACAUGGUUUAUUAUGUCGUAAAUUUAAUUAUAAUAUUUGGUUGUUGCAGGGCUCAUGUAAAACAUAUUUUAGUAGUUGUUUCAAACAAUUAACUAAGAAACUAUUUACAG
This 33254-nucleotide long non-coding RNA is filed under the name Daucus carota (carrot). Its description in RNAcentral is "long non-coding RNA (DCAR_LNC003926)". The record is from RNAcentral. Lineage: Eukaryota; Viridiplantae; Streptophyta; Magnoliopsida; Apiales; Apiaceae.